Aquila chrysaetos chrysaetos is the source of this 1967-nucleotide long non-coding RNA. RefSeq lists it as uncharacterized. The record is from RefSeq and is a predicted model, not a curated record. Lineage: Eukaryota; Metazoa; Chordata; Aves; Accipitriformes; Accipitridae. The transcript has 5 exons.
GUGACACAGCCAGGAGUCAACUCAUUUCAAAAUCACUAAGCAGAUGCAUCUCCCUUACAAUACAUAUUUGUUCUCUCAUUUGGGUGGAGCUACUAUUGAUGCUAUUCUUACUUGUUAUUUCAGAAUUUGCUGGACUGAGAAGAAGAGAAAGAGAGGAGAAAAGUGCAGAAUGAGAACUACGUACAUAACUUACAGGAAGAUUGUGCAGCGUCGUGUCCGUGAACUUCCAGAGUUUGCAUUAAAAAGUGACAGAACAUCAGAGUGCCAGAAGCUUCUCAUAUUGUGGCUCUGAAGGAAAAAUAUAUUGAAGACAGAUGGGAACCAAAGAAAUGUGAAGCAUCCUGGAGCAUGCCUACUACAGCAGGAAGAACUUGGGGGCAAAAAAAGGUGUCUCUUCUCUUCAUGGAAGAGGGAAUCAGCUGAAAAUGAAGGCUAAAUAGAUGGGAGGAGAAGACUCCUCAAAAAUCAGAAACCUGAAGUUGCUUGCUCUACGUGGUACCAUCAUAGCCCGAGCAGCACCUCCCUGCUGUGGUUAUCAGGACCAACCUGCACCCAGCAGCCUCACACCGCCACCCUGCUCGCACAGGAACCCUGCAGCAUCGCUCGCUCUCUGAGCCGUGGGGUAGUCGGCGAGAGCAGCCGUGGGGCCUCCCGUGCUCCCCGGAAUUAGAGACCUCAGGAGGCAGCAAUGAGGGGAGCGGGGGGCUGCGGGAGGCUGCACUGCCGCCUGCAGCUCUGUGGGGCAGCCUCGGAGCCCCGAGUGCGCUGCAGCUCCCGCCCAGUAAAAAUCAGCCUGAAGAGCAAAUGGAUGCCAGUGACCACAAGGUGCUCUCUAAUUCACACGUCAGCGAUGCUACAGCUGAAAACACGUACCAUACCUACUCCGGCUUCCUUCUGGCCCCAAAACCACUUAAUUCCUGCACCAGCUUACAGGGGAGGUGGGCCUCAGCCAGCUCCCAUUUCCUGAGCUGGCCAGGAGCAGAUCGCCGAGGAAGAGCCUAAAGAAAAAAAGGUAGGGCUAACGGAGGCUGCAGCCACACCGCCGGGUUCAGCAGCCGCGGCUGGACCUGUUCUUUGUGAAGUGACUGAAGACUGUGACUCACACUGUGCUUUUUUUCGAUGACAUUUUGUUUUGCAUGAAAGUUUUGGGUUUGAAAAAUUACUACUGCGUUCAAGUUGUUUGCGGUUUUCAUUAGCUUCCACUAAGCUCUACAAAGGCCCCAAGAUCUCCUAGGUAUUUUACAUCUCCCGGUACUAUCUGCUUUAGUCACGUGGCUCCAAUUUUCCAUUAUCGGAGCUUUGCACCGCGCAGCUGGGCCUAGAGCCAGGGGCAGUUUUGGUGCAGUAAGGACCCGAAGCCGCCCUGCCCAGACUGUGGGCUUGACCAUUGGGGGAACAAUGCACACGGCCAAGUCUGCACUAAAGACCCUGUGCAUUAGAUUUGGUGCAAGUUUGAAAUUUAUAAACCUGUGAAAGUUUUAUAUGUACCUAAUUGCAUUAGCCCAAAAGUAGUUUUAAGAGCGGCACUAUAAAAAUGGGAUUAUAAUAGCUGGAUAGACACAUACAAAUAUAUAUCUUCAUUUUUAAAAGCUGUGGGUUAGGAAUAGACAAGAGGUUUCCAGCUGGUACAGGCACUGCCCUCUUGUGACUGAAUACUCGAAAUACAGGCAAACCUCCAGCUGCAGCUGCUCAGCAGAGCUCACCUCUACAGAAGAUAAACAUUGAUGUUAUUGCUGUAAAAACGUUGAGAUGUUCUGAGCACUUUUCCCAUAGUGAUUCACAGGAGGCCCCAGCUUUAGCUUUUAAAAAAGUCAAAUAAUAAUCUUCUUGCAAAUGAGAAACUCAGUUUAGAAAACAAACCAAUCCUUUACACUACAGAAGUAGGUAAUGCAUUUCCUAAAAAUAUAUUUUGCAAGUAUUUUUACAACUGUUUAAGUAUUUGCAAUACGAUAAAGAUUUUAAAAAUA